UACGUAGGGACCGAGCGUUGUCCGGAUUCAUUGGGCGUAGAGAGCUCGUAGGCGGCUGCUCAAGUCGAAUGUGAAAACUCGAGGCUCAACCUCGAGCCUGCAUUCGAUACUGGGCGGCUAGAGUCUGGUAGGGGGAUCUGGAAUUCCUGGUGUAGCGGUGGAAUGCGCAGAUAUCAGGAGGAACACCGGUGGCGAAGGCGGGAUCCUGGGCCAGUACUGACGCUGAGGAGCGAAAGCGUGGGGAGCAAACAGG
RNAcentral lists this ribosomal RNA (253 nucleotides) under uncultured bacterium. RNAcentral describes it as "partial 16S ribosomal RNA". It matches the Rfam family "Bacterial small subunit ribosomal RNA", at positions 524 to 776 of the family's 1533-position model. The record is from RNAcentral.